AGGACGAACGCUGGCGGCGUGCCUAAUACAUGCAAGUCGAGCGGACAGAAGGGAGCUUGCUCCCGGAUGUUAGCGGCGGACGGGUGAGUAACACGUGGGUAACCUGCCUGUAAGACUGGGAUAACUCCGGGAAACCGGAGCUAAUACCGGAUAGUUCCUUGAACCGCAUGGUUCAAGGAUGAAAGACGGUUUCGGCUGUCACUUACAGAUGGACCCGCGGCGCAUUAGCUAGUUGGUGGGGUAAUGGCUCACCAAGGCGACGAUGCGUAGCCGACCUGAGAGGGUGAUCGGCCACACUGGGACUGAGACACGGCCCAGACUCCUACGGGAGGCAGCAGUAGGGAAUCUUCCGCAAUGGACGAAAGUCUGACGGAGCAACGCCGCGUGAGUGAUGAAGGUUUUCGGAUCGUAAAGCUCUGUUGUUAGGGAAGAACAAGUGCGAGAGUAACUGCUCGCACCUUGACGGUACCUAACCAGAAAGCCACGGCUAACUACGUGCCAGCAGCCGCGGUAAUACGUAGGUGGCAAGCGUUGUCCGGAAUUAUUGGGCGUAAAGGGCUCGCAGGCGGUUUCUUAAGUCUGAUGUGAAAGCCCCCGGCUCAACCGGGGAGGGUCAUUGGAAACUGGGAAACUUGAGUGCAGAAGAGGAGAGUGGAAUUCCACGUGUAGCGGUGAAAUGCGUAGAGAUGUGGAGGAACACCAGUGGCGAAGGCGACUCUCUGGUCUGUAACUGACGCUGAGGAGCGAAAGCGUGGGGAGCGAACAGGAUUAGAUACCCUGGUAGUCCACGCCGUAAACGAUGAGUGCUAAGUGUUAGGGGGUUUCCGCCCCUUAGUGCUGCAGCUAACGCAUUAAGCACUCCGCCUGGGGAGUACGGUCGCAAGACUGAAACUCAAAGGAAUUGACGGGGGCCCGCACAAGCGGUGGAGCAUGUGGUUUAAUUCGAAGCAACGCGAAGAACCUUACCAGGUCUUGACAUCCUCUGACAACCCUAGAGAUAGGGCUUUCCCUUCGGGGACAGAGUGACAGGUGGUGCAUGGUUGUCGUCAGCUCGUGUCGUGAGAUGUUGGGUUAAGUCCCGCAACGAGCGCAACCCUUGAUCUUAGUUGCCAGCAUUUAGUUGGGCACUCUAAGGUGACUGCCGGUGACAAACCGGAGGAAGGUGGGGAUGACGUCAAAUCAUCAUGCCCCUUAUGACCUGGGCUACACACGUGCUACAAUGGACAGAACAAAGGGCUGCGAGACCGCAAGGUUUAGCCAAUCCCAUAAAUCUGUUCUCAGUUCGGAUCGCAGUCUGCAACUCGACUGCGUGAAGCUGGAAUCGCUAGUAAUCGCGGAUCAGCAUGCCGCGGGUGAAUACGUUCCCGGGCCUUGUACACACCGCCCGUCACACCACGAGAGUUUGCAACACCCGAAGUCGGUGAGGUAACCUUUAUGGAGCCAGCCGCCGAAGGUGGGGCAGAUGAUUGGGGUGAAUC
RNAcentral lists this ribosomal RNA (1478 nucleotides) under uncultured Bacillus sp. RNAcentral describes it as "bacterial SSU rRNA". It matches the Rfam family "Bacterial small subunit ribosomal RNA". Lineage: Bacteria; Bacillati; Bacillota; Bacilli; Caryophanales; Bacillaceae. The record is from RNAcentral.